AUUGAACGCUGGCGGCAUGCCUUACACAUGCAAGUCGAACGGCAGCAUGAUCUAGCUUGCUAGAUUGAUGGCGAGUGGCGACCGGGUGAGUAAUACAUCGGAACGUGCCCUGUAGUGGGGGAUAACUAGUCGAAAGAUUAGCUAAUACCGCAUACGACCUGAGGGUGAAAGUGGGGGACCGCAAGGCCUCAUGCUAUAGGAGCGGCCGAUGUCUGAUUAGCUAGUUGGUGAGGUAAAGGCUCACCAAGGCGACGAUCAGUAGCUGGUCUGAGAGGACGAUCAGCCACACUGGGACUGAGACACGGCCAAGACUCCUACGGGAGGCAGCAGUGGGGAAUUUUGGACAAUGGGCGAAAGCCUGAUCCAGCAAUGCCGCGUGUGUGAAGAAGGCCUUCGGGUUGUAAAGCACUUUUGUCCGGAAAGAAAUGGCUCUGGUUAAUACCUGGGGUCGAUGACGGUACCGGAAGAAUAAGGACCGGCUAACUACGUG
This 490-nucleotide ribosomal RNA is filed under the name uncultured bacterium. RNAcentral's name for it is "partial 16S ribosomal RNA". It matches the Rfam family "Bacterial small subunit ribosomal RNA", at positions 30 to 507 of the family's 1533-position model. The record is from RNAcentral.